Molecule: ribosomal RNA, 241 nt
Filed under: uncultured bacterium
Lineage: Bacteria
Description: partial 16S ribosomal RNA
Rfam family: Bacterial small subunit ribosomal RNA
Source: RNAcentral
CGUGGGUAACCUGCCUUAUAGUGGGGGAUAGCCUUUCGAAAGGAAGAUUAAUACCGCAUAAGAUUGUAGUAUCGCAUGAUAUAGCAAUUAAAGGAGCAAUUCGCUAUAAGAUGGACCCGCGUCGCAUUAGCUAGUUGGUGAGGUAAUGGCUCACCAAGGCGACGAUGCGUAGCCGACCUGAGAGGGUGAUCGGCCACAUUGGGACUGAGACACGGCCCAGAAUCCUACGGGAGGCAGCAUG